Molecule: long non-coding RNA, 1195 nt
Filed under: Bemisia tabaci
Lineage: Eukaryota; Metazoa; Arthropoda; Insecta; Hemiptera; Aleyrodidae
Description: lncRNA ENSSSA3NGG012580
Source: RNAcentral
GCAAAAUUUGCCGCCCCCUAGAUUUGCCGCCAUGGGCCGCGGCCACUGGCCACCCCCUUAAUCCGGCCCUGGUAGGCGCUUAAUUUCUGUAUCCUCAAAAAUGCCCUUAAUAUAUUGAAAUAGAGCUUUGAGAAGAUGUAAUUAAUUGCGAGGGAGGGGCAACUGUCCCCUCUCCCCUAUGACUGUCGCUAAUCUCCUUAUCAGUAGCCUAUUUUAAAGAAGUAAGUACCAUUUUUAUGAAAUAUGGUAACGCGGUGUCACAUUAGGCAACAGAGCCUCUUAUGUUUUGUUUAUGUUUGUAGGUUAUGUCCAGAAAAUGUGCUCGGCCGCUCGGCUUCUUUCGUUGUGUUACAUAUGGUUACAGGUACCCAGUUCGUCCCCGUAAAAGUUCUCCUUUUUAAAAUUUUAAAAAUCCUAGACUGUAUAGAUUUUUCAGUCAUUUCUUCAAGAGCCUAGUCCUGAAUACUUUCGGAGGGCGCGUCCUCGAUCAGAGAUUUGCUGUUUCCAGCAGUGUUGGUAGUUAUAGGUCUUUUUACGGUUUUUACUUACACGCCGGUUUCAGCGUCCAGGUGAAAGGUACUUUUUUUUAUUUUUGCAAUUUUUACUUAAAUAUCUCCCUCAAGUUUGCCUCAAAUCCUAUUUUAAGCAGUUUGAGAUCAGGUCGAAGGCAACACGAUGCACAAGGAUCAGAGAGAACAGGUACAGUCUCGUCUCGGUGGCGAAGUCCCUUGAGAAGCCGUCUUUUUAAUCAUUGUCGAAGAUGUCAAUGCAUGGCAGUUUCAAAGAAUUUUUUGAAGAACCUGAAGGUGCCGGUGUACUUAUAUCCAUUUUAUAACUCACUCUGCUUGCUUUUACAGGUAACUUCUACUAAACGAUAGAGCUCUGAAAGCUCCAGUAACGAGAUGUAUUCAACCCAUGGGUAUGAUUCAGAGGAUGAGUACUGUCCUAGAAACGUUUGCCUUGAUGUUGGUGAACUGUCUGCAGACACUGAUCUCACGAAGACGCCAACUUCAGGUCAGGAGUAUCUACAGCAAGUUGUGUUGGAAGCAUCCAAAUAUCGUGAUGUCGUUGUGGCUAAUAUUGAUCGGUCCAAAUUGAAGAAACAAAUUCCAAUUCUAAUUAUGGUUACUGGAAUUUUGUAAGUACUUUUUACUUUCUUUACCUUUACAUCACCUUUUUUUCAUUACUUUCUAUA